Long non-coding RNA from Solanum tuberosum (potato), 227 nucleotides. RefSeq lists it as uncharacterized. NCBI's taxonomy places the organism in Eukaryota, Viridiplantae, Streptophyta, Magnoliopsida, Solanales, Solanaceae. The transcript has 2 exons. The record is from RefSeq and is a predicted model, not a curated record.
UUGAAAGGAAAAUUGAUUGCUUCUGUUGAGGUGAAGUGUGGAGGCCAUUUGAUGCAUGAUCUUUUACACACUAAUUCUCAUCAUGUAGCCAAUAUAAGUCAACAUGUUAACCGUUUUCAAAUUCAUGAAGGUGAAAGCGUAAAAGUUGGUUCGAUUGUUAGCUGGAGUUAUAAUGAGGCUGGACAAAAGAAGUUUAUAAAGCAAGUUAUUGAAGCCAUCGAUCCGUA